This 497-nucleotide ribosomal RNA is filed under the name uncultured bacterium. RNAcentral's name for it is "partial 16S ribosomal RNA". It matches the Rfam family "Bacterial small subunit ribosomal RNA", at positions 28 to 507 of the family's 1533-position model. The record is from RNAcentral.
GAUGAACGCUGGCGGCGUGCCUAAUACAUGCAAGUCGAGCGAACAGACGAGGAGCUUGCUCCUCUGACGUUAGCGGCGGACGGGUGAGUAACACGUGGAUAAUCGACCUAUAAGUCUGGGAUAACUUCGGGAAACCGGAGCUAAUACCGGAUAAUAUAUUGAACCGCAUGGUUCAAUAGUGAAAGACGGUUUUGCUGUCACUUAUAGAUGGAUCCGCGCCGCAUUAGCUAGUUGGUAAGGUAACGGCUUUCCAAGGCAACGAUGCGUAGCCGACCUGAGAGGGUGAUCGGCCACACUGGAACUGAGACACGGUCCAGACUCCUACGGGAGGCAGCAGUAGGGAAUCUUCCGCAAUGGGCGAAAGCCUGACGGAGCAACGCCGCGUGAGUGAUGAAGGUCUUCGGAUCGUAAAACUCCGUUAUUAGGGAAGAACAAAUGUGUAAGUAACUAUGCACGUCUUGACGGUACCUAAUCAGAAAGCCACGGCUAACUACGUG